This 71-nucleotide transfer RNA is filed under the name Ovis aries (sheep). It matches the Rfam family "tRNA". Rfam says of the family: Transfer RNA (tRNA) molecules are approximately 80 nucleotides in length. Their secondary structure includes four short double-helical elements and three loops (D, anti-codon, and T loops). Further hydrogen bonds mediate the characteristic L-shaped molecular structure. tRNAs have two regions of fundamental functional importance: the anti-codon, which is responsible for specific mRNA codon recognition, and the 3' end, to which the tRNAs corresponding amino acid is attached (by aminoacyl-tRNA synthetases). tRNAs cope with the degeneracy of the genetic code in two manners: having more than one tRNA (with a specific anti-codon) for a particular amino acid; and 'wobble' base-pairing, i.e. permitting non-standard base-pairing at the 3rd anti-codon position. Lineage: Eukaryota; Metazoa; Chordata; Mammalia; Artiodactyla; Bovidae. The record is from Rfam by way of RNAcentral.
UUCCAGGUGGCUCAGUAGUAAAGAAUCAGCCUGCCAAGUGGAAGACCCAGGUUCCAACCCUGGCUUGCGAA